GACGAACGCUGGCGGCGUGCCUAAUACAUGCAAGUCGAGCGCACAGACGAGGAUCUUGCUCCGCUGACGUUAGCGGCGGACGGGUGAGAAACACGUGGAUAACCUACCUAUAAGACUGGGGUAACUACGGGAAAUCGGAGCUGAUACCGGAUAAUAUAUUGAACCGCAUUGUUCAAUAGUGAAAGACGGUUUUGGUGUCACUAAUAGCUGGAUACGCGCCCCAUUCGCUAGUUGGUAAGGUAACGGAUUACCAAGGCAACGAUGCGUAGCCGACCUAAGAGGGAGAUCGGCUACACGGGAACUGAGACACGGUCCAGACACCUAGGGGAGGCCGCAGUAGGGAAUCCUCCGCGAUGGGGGAGAGCGGGACGUAGCAACGCGGCGGCAGUGAUGAAGGUCUCCUGAUCGGAAAGCUCUGUUAUUAGUGAAGAACAAAUGUGUAAGUAACUAUGCACGUCUUGACGGUACCUAAUCAGAAAGCCACGGCUAACUACGUG
This 497-nucleotide ribosomal RNA is filed under the name uncultured bacterium. Its description in RNAcentral is "partial 16S ribosomal RNA". It matches the Rfam family "Bacterial small subunit ribosomal RNA", at positions 28 to 507 of the family's 1533-position model. The record is from RNAcentral.